This 251-nucleotide ribosomal RNA is filed under the name uncultured Staphylococcus sp. RNAcentral's name for it is "partial 16S ribosomal RNA". It matches the Rfam family "Bacterial small subunit ribosomal RNA", at positions 89 to 334 of the family's 1533-position model. Lineage: Bacteria; Bacillati; Bacillota; Bacilli; Caryophanales; Staphylococcaceae. The record is from RNAcentral.
ACGUUAGCGGCGGACGGGUGAGUAACACGUGGGUAACCUACCUAUAAGACUGGGAUAACUCCGGGAAACCGGGGCUAAUACCGGAUAACACAUGAAACCGCAUGGUUUCAUGAUGAAGGACGGUUUUGCUGUCACUUAUAGAUGGACCCGCGGCGUAUUAGCUAGUUGGUAAGGUAACGGCUUACCAAGGCAACGAUACGUAGCCGACCUGAGAGGGUGAUCGGCCACACUGGAACUGAGACACGGUCCAG